GCCAGUUUGACGUAGUGGUUUAAGCAUUGGACUAUGACCCUGGAGAUCAGGGUUCAAUUCCCUGCUCAGCCA
Molecule: non-coding RNA, 72 nt
Organism: Phrynosoma platyrhinos (Desert horned lizard)
Lineage: Eukaryota; Metazoa; Chordata; Lepidosauria; Squamata; Phrynosomatidae
Source: the annotation of a GenBank genome assembly